AGGCCACGCCUGCCCGGUGACUAGAAGUUUAACGGCCGCGGUAUUAUGACCGUGCAAAGGUAGCGUAAUCACUUGUCUUUUAAAUGGAGACCUGUAUGAAAGGCGAGACGAGGGCAAAUCUGUCUCCCCUCUUAUGUCAAUGAAACUGAUUUCCCCGUGCAGAAGCGGGGAUGCAGUCACAAGACGAGAAGACCCUGUGGAGCUUUAGACUUUAGUGAGCUCGCCCAAAGUAUAAGUACUAACUGAAUAAAGACACGGCCCCCCUCCCCUAAAUGUCUUUGGUUGGGGCGACCGCGGAGAUAAACUAAACCCCCGCGUGGAUAGGGGGUAACCCCUAUAAUCAAGAGCUACAGCUCUAUAUAUCAGGAUUCCUGACUUCUAAUGAUCCGGCCUGCCGAUCAACGAACCGAGUUACCCUAGGGAUAACAGCGCAAUCCUCUUUAAGAGCCCCUAUCGACAAGAGGGUUUACGACCUCGAUGUUGGAUCAGGAUAUCCUAAUGGUGCAGCCGCUAUUAAAGGUUCGUUUGUU
RNAcentral lists this ribosomal RNA (530 nucleotides) under Zu cristatus (scalloped ribbonfish). RNAcentral's name for it is "partial 16S ribosomal RNA". It matches the Rfam family "Bacterial large subunit ribosomal RNA", at positions 1850 to 2581 of the family's 2925-position model. Lineage: Eukaryota; Metazoa; Chordata; Actinopteri; Lampriformes; Trachipteridae. The record is from RNAcentral.